This is a long non-coding RNA of Hibiscus syriacus, 148 nucleotides long. RefSeq lists it as uncharacterized. The transcript is spliced from 4 exons. The record is from RefSeq and is a predicted model, not a curated record. NCBI's taxonomy places the organism in Eukaryota, Viridiplantae, Streptophyta, Magnoliopsida, Malvales, Malvaceae.
CCCACCAGAAGCCGUCCAAAGUCAAGCCAAAAGGCAGCCUUUUCACAUGCAGUUAAUAUGAAUUGAAGCCAUAUAAGGUACUAGAAUGUUGUUUUUUCUUAGAAGAAUGGAAGCAAGACUUGGAAGAAAAAAAAAAAAAAAAAUUAUU